AUUGGCCAGACCUAGGGAUCAAUAGAGGGGUAAAGGGAAUGGGAGCAGCAGUAAACCACUACUGUUGGCUGUGAACCACCGUCAAACACCUUUGAAUUUGGGGCGUUGAUUCGAG
Long non-coding RNA from Zingiber officinale, 115 nucleotides. RefSeq lists it as uncharacterized. The record is from RefSeq and is a predicted model, not a curated record. NCBI's taxonomy places the organism in Eukaryota, Viridiplantae, Streptophyta, Magnoliopsida, Zingiberales, Zingiberaceae. The transcript is spliced from 3 exons.